AGCCAAACUCUAGCCUAACCAGUCAUUUACCCGUUAACUAAAAAUUACCCCCACCCACAAACUAAAACAUUCUCUUUAGCUUAGUAUAGGUGAUAGAAAAGCUCCUCCAGUGCAAUAGAGAUUCUGUACCGUAAGGGAAAGAUGAAAUAAUAAUGAAACCCCAAGCAACACACAGCAAAGAUAAGCCCUUGUACCUCUUGCAUCAUGGUUUAGCAAGAAUAACCAAGCAAAACGAAUUUAAGCUUGCCCUCCCGAAACCCAAGCGAGCUACUUGUAGGCAGCUACCCCCGAGCGAACCCGUCUCUGUAGCAAAAGAGUGGGACGACCUACUAGUAGAGGUGAAAAGCCAACCGAGCUGGGUGAUAGCUGGUUGCCUGUAAAACGAAUCUAAGUUCACCCUUAAUUCCCCUCCAAGGACCCUAACUAACCCUCGCACGUAGCGAAUUAAGAGUAAUUUAAAGGAGGAACAGCUCCUUUAAAAUAAGGAUACAACCUCUUACAGCGGAUAAUAUAACCCAUCUUCCCUAGUCUGUUGGCCUUUAAGCAGCCACCAACAAAGAGUGCGUCAAAGCUCCCCCCCAAAGAUAUAAGAACAACAUGACUCCCUCCCCACUAACAGGCUAACCUAUCACAAUAGGAGAAUCAAUGCUAGAAUGAGUAACCAGGACCAUCUCCUCUCAAGCGCAAACUUACAUCACCACAUUAUUAACAGCACCUAAUUAAUACCACAACCUCAACAAGCCUACACAUUAAAACCACCCUGUUAACCCAACACAGGAGCGCCCACUAGAAAGACUAAAAUCCGUAAAAGGAACUAGGCAAACCUAAGACCCGACUGUUUACCAAAAACAUAGCCUUCAGCAAACCGAGUAUUGAAGGUGAUGCCUGCCCAGUGACCCUCGGUUCAACGGCCGCGGUAUCCUAACCGUGCGAAGGUAGCGCAAUCAAUUGUCCCAUAAAUCGGGACUUGUAUGAAUGGCUAAACGAGGCCUUAACUGUCUCUUACAGAUAGUCAGUGAAAUUGAUCUCCCUGUGCAAAAGCAGGGAUAAGCACAUAAGACGAGAAGACCCUGUGGAACUUAAAAAUCAGCAGCCACUACACACAAAUACACACCUACCAGGUUUACAACUAAAACUUAUGCUGGCCUGCAUUUUUCGGUUGGGGCGACCUUGGAGAAAAGAAAAACCUCCAAAAAUAAGAACACAUCCCUUAACCAAGAGCAACCUCUCAACGUACUAAUAGUAACCAGAUCCAAUAGAAAUUGAUCAAUGGACUAAGCUACCCCAGGGAUAACAGCGCAAUCUCUCCUAAGAGCCCCUAUCGACGGAGAGGUUUACGACCUCGAUGUUGGAUCAGGACAUCCUAAUGGUGCAGUCGCUAUUAAGGGUUCGUUUGUUCAACGAUUAACAGUCCUACGUGAUCUGAGUUCAGACCGGAGCAAUCCAGGUCGGUUUCUAUCUAUGUAAUACUUUCCCUAGUACGAAAGGACCGAGAAAGUAAGGCCAAUGCUAUAGGUAUGCCUUCUCCCUAAGUAAUGAAUUCAACUAAAUUAUAAAAGGAAUCCCCACACAAACUCCAAACCCUAGAAAAGGGCC
Molecule: ribosomal RNA, 1596 nt
Filed under: Haliastur indus (brahminy kite)
Lineage: Eukaryota; Metazoa; Chordata; Aves; Accipitriformes; Accipitridae
Description: 16S ribosomal RNA
Rfam family: Bacterial large subunit ribosomal RNA
Source: RNAcentral